UUAGAUACCCUGGUAGUCCACGCCGUAAACGAUGAUUACUAGGUGUGGGUGCGAAAGCAUCCGUGCCGGAGUUAACACAAUAAGUAAUCCACCUGGGGAGUACGACCGCAAGGUUGAAACUCAAAGGAAUUGACGGGGGCCCGCACAAGCAGUGGAGUAUGUGGUUUAAUUCGACGCAACGCGAAGAACCUUACCAGGUUUUGACAUCCUGCUAACGAAGUAGAGAUACAUUAGGUGCCCUUAGGGGAAAGCAGAGACAGGUGGUGCAUGGUUGUCGUCAGCUCGUGUCGUGAGAUGUUGGGUUAAGUCCCGCAACGAGCGCAACCCUUACCGAUAGUUGCUACGCAAUAGCACUCUAUAGGGACUGCCGUUGACAAAACGGAGGAAGGUGGGGAUGACGUCAAAUCAUCAUGCCCCUUAUGACCUGGGCGACACACGUACUACAAUGGUCAUGAACAGAGGGAAGCAAAGCCGCGAGGUGGAGCGAAACCCAAAAAAUGAUCUCAGUUCGGAUUGCAGGCUGAAAGCCGCCUGCAUGAAGCCGGAACUGCUAGUAAUC
RNAcentral lists this ribosomal RNA (559 nucleotides) under uncultured bacterium. Its description in RNAcentral is "bacterial SSU rRNA". It matches the Rfam family "Bacterial small subunit ribosomal RNA", at positions 778 to 1343 of the family's 1533-position model. The record is from RNAcentral.